This 229-nucleotide ribosomal RNA is filed under the name uncultured bacterium. RNAcentral describes it as "partial 16S ribosomal RNA". It matches the Rfam family "Bacterial small subunit ribosomal RNA", at positions 568 to 796 of the family's 1533-position model. The record is from RNAcentral.
UGCGUAGGCGGAAAAUUAAGUCAGUAGUGAAAUCCUGCAGCUUAACUGUAGAACUGUUAUUGAUACUGAUUUUCUUGAAUAUAGUUGAGGUAGGCGGAAUGUGUAAUGUAGCGGUGAAAUGCUUAGAUAUUACACAGAACACCGAUUGCGAAGGCAGCUUACUAAGCUAUUAUUGACGCUGAGGCACGAAAGCGUGGGGAGCGAACAGGAUUAGAUACCCUGGUAGUCC